Molecule: long non-coding RNA, 934 nt
Organism: Pantherophis guttatus
Lineage: Eukaryota; Metazoa; Chordata; Lepidosauria; Squamata; Colubridae
Source: RefSeq, a predicted model, not a curated record
UUCAUCUGGGUCUAUUGCCAGCGCUGGUCGUUUCACUCCCGUUUAAGAAGUUUCUUCCUUCUCCUCACAAGGAUGGAUGGUGGUGAUUACUGUGGUCCUUCAUCUGUUGGAUCAACUGUGCUUUGCCACCCUUCCGGUGAUUGCCAGACCUGUUGUGCCCCUUGCUGCUGCCAGUCUAAAUGCUCUACCAAGUCUUGCUGUAUCCCCUGAUGUGUGCCAAGACCAAAUGUUGCUGAAGAAAACUAGAAGAUCAUGUUGAUCUACAAAGCAGAGGGUCAGCUCCCUCACUUCCUCCAACUUCAUGGUUGCUUCCUUUAUUUGAUUUACAACUUGGAACCAAUACGAUAUAGUUGUAUUCCUAAUGAGUCCAUCUAGGUGAUAAGUCUUAUCUUCUAUCUUCUAAAAACCUGGUCAACAUUGUUGCCAUUCUGCUCUGCCUCAUCUCUGCUUCGCGAUGCCAGACUAUCAUAAGCCCGCAGGGGGAAGGGAGGGCGAGCUAACACAGAGAGGGAGAAAAGCCAGAAAUCAAAACUACACCGAAUGCCUGGCAGAGACAUCAGCCGGCUGACCCCAAGGCCACAAGCAUGGGAAUGGAGUGUGGAGCUUCAUCGACCCCGACAAGAAACAGGACUGUUACCAAAACAAUUUGUUUGAAUCCCAUUGGACACUAAACAGAUAAUGAGGGGAGGGGAUCUGAAAAGGGAAAAGUAAAUGGGCAGAUUUUGCACGGAUCUGGCUACACCUGGCUUGUCUUUAGUAAAGGUGUUCCUUUCAUUAAUAAUGCAGUUGGAGGCUCUUCUCUUCUAAAUGAGCAAGUUGGGACAGGCCCGACAGGGUGCGAUAGAUGAUGUUUCCAUGUUAAUUCAAGGUUUGAGAUUUUCCCAGAUGUUCUAUCCAUCCAAUAAAACUCUGGAGCCAUGAAAGGCAAUAUUCA